RNAcentral lists this ribosomal RNA (253 nucleotides) under uncultured bacterium. RNAcentral's name for it is "partial 16S ribosomal RNA". It matches the Rfam family "Bacterial small subunit ribosomal RNA", at positions 524 to 776 of the family's 1533-position model. The record is from RNAcentral.
UACGUAGGGGGCAAGCGUUAUCCGGAUUUACUGGGUGUAGAGGGGGCGCAGACGGCAGCGCAAGCCAGGAGUGAAAGCCCGGGGCCCAACCCCGGGACUGCUCUUGGAACUGCGCGGCUGGAGUGCAGGAGGGGCAGGCGGAAUUCCUGGUGUAGCGGUGAAAUGCGUAGAUAUCAGGAGGAACACCGGUGGCGAAGGCGGCCUGCUGGACUGCGACUGACGUUGAGGCCCGAAAGCGUGGGGAGCAAACAGG